Molecule: ribosomal RNA, 221 nt
Filed under: uncultured bacterium
Lineage: Bacteria
Description: partial 16S ribosomal RNA
Rfam family: Bacterial small subunit ribosomal RNA
Source: RNAcentral
AGUAAUGUCUGGGAAACUGCCCGAUGGAGGGGGAUAACUACUGGAAACGGUAGCUAAUACCGCAUAACGUCGCAAGACCAAAGAGGGGGACCUUGGGCCUCUUGCCAUCGGAUGUGCCCAGAUGGGAUUAGCUAGUAGGUGGGGUAACGGCUCACCUAGGCGACGAUCCCUAGCUGGUCUGAGAGGAUGACCAGCCACACUGGAACUGAGACACGGUCCAG